AGAACGAACGCUGGCGGCAGGCUUAACACAUGCAAGUCGAACGGUUGUAGCAAUACAGCAGUGGCAGACGGGUGAGUAACACGUGGGAACCUUCCUAGGGGUACGGAACAACUCAGGGGAAACUUGAGCUAAUACCGUAUACGUCCGUGAGGAGAAAGUUUUAACGCCCCUAGACGGGCCCGCGUAGGAUUAGGUAGUUGGUGAGGUAACGGCUCACCAAGCCUACGAUCCUUAGCUGAUCUGAGAGGAUGAUCAGCCACACUGGGACUGAGACACGGCCCAGACUCCUACGGGAGGCAGCAGUGGGGAAUCUUGGACAAUGGGCGCAAGGCCUGAUCCAGCCAUGCCGCGUGAGUGAAGAAGCCUUC
RNAcentral lists this ribosomal RNA (368 nucleotides) under uncultured soil bacterium. Its description in RNAcentral is "bacterial SSU rRNA". It matches the Rfam family "Bacterial small subunit ribosomal RNA", at positions 26 to 418 of the family's 1533-position model. The record is from RNAcentral.